AUUGAACGCUGGCGGCAUGCCUUACACAUGCAAGUCGAACGGCAGCAUGGAGAGCUUGCUCUCUGAUGGCGAGUGGCGAACGGGUGAGUAAAGCAUCGGAACGUACCGUGUAGUGGGGGAUAACGUAGCGAAAGUUACGCUAAUACCGCAUACGCACUGAGGUGGAAAGCAGGGGAUCGUAAGACCUUGCGCUAUACGAGCGGCCGAUGUCAGAUUAGCUAGUUGGUAGGGUAAAGGCCUACCAAGGCGACGAUCUGUAGCGGGUCUGAGAGGAUGAUCCGCCACACUGGGACUGAGACACGGCCCAGACUCCUACGGGAGGCAGCAGUGGGGAAUUUUGGACAAAGGGGGCAACCCUGAUCCAGCCAUGCCGCGUGAGUGAAGAAGGCCUUCGGGUUGUAAAGCUCUUUCGGCCGGGAAGAAAUCGCACAGGCUAAUACCCUGUGUGGAUGACGGUACCGGCAUAAGAAGCACCGGCUAACUACGUG
This 488-nucleotide ribosomal RNA is filed under the name uncultured bacterium. RNAcentral's name for it is "partial 16S ribosomal RNA". It matches the Rfam family "Bacterial small subunit ribosomal RNA", at positions 30 to 507 of the family's 1533-position model. The record is from RNAcentral.